This 487-nucleotide ribosomal RNA is filed under the name uncultured bacterium. RNAcentral describes it as "partial 16S ribosomal RNA". It matches the Rfam family "Bacterial small subunit ribosomal RNA", at positions 28 to 523 of the family's 1533-position model. The record is from RNAcentral.
GAUGAACGCUGGCGGCGUGCUUAACACAUGCAAGUCGAACGAAGCACUUUUAAUUCUUCGGAAGAGAAAGUGACUGAGUGGCGGACGGGUGAGUAACGCGUGGGUAACCUGCCUUAUACAGGGGGAUAACAGUUAGAAAUGACUGCUAAUACCGCAUAAGCCGAUAGAGUCGCAUGACUUAGUCGGAAAAGAUUUAUCGGUAUAAGAUGGACCCGCGUCUGAUUAGCUAGUUGGUGAGGUAAUGGCCCACCAAGGCGACGAUCAGUAGCCGGCUUGAGAGAGUGAACGGCCACAUUGGGACUGAGACACGGCGCAAACUCCUACGGGAGGCAGCAGUGGGGAAUAUUGCACAAUGGGGGAAACCCUGAUGCAGCAACGCCGCGUGAAGGAAGAAGUAUUUCGGUAUGUAAACUUCUAUCAGCAGGGAAGAAAAUGACGGUACCUGACUAAGAAGCCCCGGCUAACUACGUGCCAGCAGCCGCAGUAA